Molecule: ribosomal RNA, 531 nt
Filed under: uncultured bacterium
Lineage: Bacteria
Description: bacterial SSU rRNA
Rfam family: Bacterial small subunit ribosomal RNA
Source: RNAcentral
UAGAUACCCAGGUAGUCCACGCCGUAAACGGUGGGCACUAGGUGUGGGCGACAUUCCACGUCGUCCGUGCCGCAGCUAACGCAUUAAGUGCCCCGCCUGGGGAGUACGGCCGCAAGGCUAAACUCAAAGGAUUGACGGGGGCCCGCACAAGCGGCGGAGCAUGUGGCUUAAUUCGACGCAACGCGAAGAACCUUACCAAGGCUUGACAUACACCGGAAACGUCCAGAGAUGGGCGCCCCCUUGUGGUCGGUGUACAGGUGGUGCAUGGCUGUCGUCAGCUCGUGUCGUGAGAUGUUGGGUUAAGUCCCGCAACGAGCGCAACCCUUGUCCCGUGUUGCCAGCAGGCCCUUGUGGUGCUGGGGACUCACGGGGAGACCGCCGGGGUCAACUCGGAGGAAGGUGGGGACGACGUCAAGUCAUCAUGCCCCUUAUGUCUUGGGCUGCACACGUGCUACAAUGGCCGGUACAAUGAGCUGCGAUACCGCGAGGUGGAGCGAAUCUCAAAAAGCCGGUCUCAGUUCGGAUUGGGGU